UACAACUUUCAACAACGGAUCUCUUGGUUCUGGCAUCGAUGAAGAACGCAGCGAAAUGCGAUAAGUAGUGUGAAUUGCAGAAUUCAGUGAAUCAUCGAAUCUUUGAACGCACAUUGCGCCCUUUGGUAUUCCAAAGGGCAUGCCUGUUCGAGCGUCAUUUG
RNAcentral lists this ribosomal RNA (161 nucleotides) under Drechslera dactylidis. Its description in RNAcentral is "5.8S ribosomal RNA". It matches the Rfam family "5.8S ribosomal RNA". From Rfam's summary of the family: 5.8S ribosomal RNA (5.8S rRNA) is a component of the large subunit of the eukaryotic ribosome. It is transcribed by RNA polymerase I as part of the 45S precursor that also contains 18S and 28S rRNA. Lineage: Eukaryota; Fungi; Ascomycota; Dothideomycetes; Pleosporales; Pleosporaceae. RNAcentral also lists the same sequence under 2 other names. The record is from RNAcentral.